GCCGACGUAGCUCAGUGGUAGAGCAGCGGUUUCGUAAACCGCUGGCCGGGAGUUCGAAUCUCCCCGUCGGCU
Molecule: transfer RNA, 72 nt
Filed under: Mycobacterium sp.
Lineage: Bacteria; Bacillati; Actinomycetota; Actinomycetes; Mycobacteriales; Mycobacteriaceae
Also listed under: 7 other names
Description: tRNA-Thr
Rfam family: tRNA
About the family: Transfer RNA (tRNA) molecules are approximately 80 nucleotides in length. Their secondary structure includes four short double-helical elements and three loops (D, anti-codon, and T loops). Further hydrogen bonds mediate the characteristic L-shaped molecular structure. tRNAs have two regions of fundamental functional importance: the anti-codon, which is responsible for specific mRNA codon recognition, and the 3' end, to which the tRNAs corresponding amino acid is attached (by aminoacyl-tRNA synthetases). tRNAs cope with the degeneracy of the genetic code in two manners: having more than one tRNA (with a specific anti-codon) for a particular amino acid; and 'wobble' base-pairing, i.e. permitting non-standard base-pairing at the 3rd anti-codon position.
Source: RNAcentral